GUUAAUGAAGUUAGUGUUGUCUCCAGGAUUAAGAAAACAUGCUUCCUCUAAUAAAUCAAAGAUCAUCAGAGGCUCGUGGUUUGGAAUCCCAGUCUGGAGUUGGCAUUCCAAUUCGCCCUCGGCCUGCCACAGCUAGAUUGAAUUUGCUGUUUCUGGACUCAAGUGCUGAACAAGAUCCUGGUGCCUCAGAGGGAGCUGCUUAUUCCACGAUUCCCAAGACAGCUUCAUCCAGACACUGGCCAUGUAUUGGUGACAGAUUUGUAAUGAACAGUCAGGGUUUUAUCCUGGCCUUUAUUUCCAUCCUUCCGGCUCUGUUUUCCCCACAUCUCCUAAUGAAUAAAGGCUGCAUUUUUUGA
RNAcentral lists this long non-coding RNA (356 nucleotides) under Felis catus (domestic cat). Its description in RNAcentral is "lncRNA (ENSFCAG00000051544.1)". Lineage: Eukaryota; Metazoa; Chordata; Mammalia; Carnivora; Felidae. The record is from RNAcentral.